This 255-nucleotide ribosomal RNA is filed under the name uncultured bacterium. Its description in RNAcentral is "partial 16S ribosomal RNA". It matches the Rfam family "Bacterial small subunit ribosomal RNA", at positions 338 to 585 of the family's 1533-position model. The record is from RNAcentral.
CCUACGGGGGGCAGCAGUAGGGAAUUUUCGUCAAUGGGCGCAAGCCUGAACGAGCAAUGCCGCGUGAACGAGGAAGGUCUUCGGAUCGUAAAGUUCUGUUGACGGGGAAAAAGAGCGGAGAGAGGAAAUGGUCUCCGAUUGAUAUUACCCUUCGAGGAAGUCACGGCUAACUACUUGCCAGCAGCCGCGGUAAUACUAAGUUGGCGAUCGUUUUCCGGAAUGUUUGGGGGUAAAGGUGGCGUAGGCGGCCUGCUA